ACCAAUCAAACCAAGUUCAGGUACUUUAGACCAUAAAGUGCACGUUUCAGCUUGCACACUUUACCUUGAGUUUUGUCACAAGAAAAACCCGGAGGAAUCUCCAUAUAUACCUCCUCUUCUAACUCUCCAUGAAGAAAGGCAUUCUUCACAUCUAACCGUUGAAGAUCUUAUCCCCGGUUAACAGCACACGAAAGUAGUACUUGAAUAAUAUUCAACUUGGCAACAUGAGCAAAGGUUUCUUGAUAGUCAAUUCCUAAAGUCUAAGUAAAUCCCUUUGCCACUAACCAUGCUUUAUAUUUGUCCAUAGCACCAUCCAUCUUUUGUUUGAUUACAAUCGCCCACUUACAUCCUACCGAUUGUUUUCCAGGAGGGAGAACAACAAGAUCCCAUGUGUCAUUUUUCUUCAAAGCAUACAUCUCUUCCACCAUUGCUGCCUUUCCACUUCUCAUCUGCAAAAGCUUCCCGCCAAUUUUGUAAAAUAGAAAUAGAAGAUAUAGAAGACACAAAAGUACGAUAAGAGCUAGACAAAAAGUCAUAUGAGACAAAUUAGGAUAUAGAGUGUUGAGUACAAGAUCUAGUACCCUUUCGAAGUGCAAUAGGAAGAUCAGAAGAAGAAACCAUACCAAGAGUAGUAGAAUCCGGAUCGGUAGAUGAUGAUUGAACAGGCAAUGUGUUAGUCGUCUUAACUCGCUUGUUGGUAGUGGGCUCCCUAUGACGAUUUGUCUUCAAUGUCUUGCUCCUAUCUAUAGUUUGCCUAACAAGAGUGGGAGUAGACUCCCCCUGAAGUGGUUGCUUUGCUAUCUCCUCUUGUGUCACUGUACUAUCCUCUUGUGUUGCAUUGUUCUCCUCUUGGGAAGGAGGAGAAUCAUCAGAAACUAUUGGAGAAGAAUGGUAAGUAAUAUCCAUAGAAACAUCUAGAGUAGGGAACACCUAUACACGAGGACACUCUCCCUAAAGAAGUGGAGCUGAAUAAUAGGAAUUAGACUCGUGAAAAACCACAUCCAUAGAUACGAUGGUGCACCUAGAAGGAGAAUGAUAACACUUAUAACCCUUUUGAGUGGGUGAAUACCCAAGAAAAAUGCAACGGAGACCACGGGGUUCCAACUUACUCUUAGAGGUGGUGUUACGAGCAUAACAAACGCAAUAAAAAAAUUUUGGGGUAAGAAUAAAAGUUGAUGAUCCCUCCAAAACA
Rhodamnia argentea is the source of this 1192-nucleotide long non-coding RNA. RefSeq lists it as uncharacterized. The transcript is spliced from 4 exons. The record is from RefSeq and is a predicted model, not a curated record. Lineage: Eukaryota; Viridiplantae; Streptophyta; Magnoliopsida; Myrtales; Myrtaceae.